Molecule: non-coding RNA, 412 nt
Organism: Phalacrocorax carbo (great cormorant)
Lineage: Eukaryota; Metazoa; Chordata; Aves; Suliformes; Phalacrocoracidae
Source: RefSeq, a predicted model, not a curated record
CUGCCCACCCUUCAGCGAGAGGGACGGCAGCCGGCCGGGGGGCGCUCUGGGGCUCGACGGGUCCUGGAGUCUCCCCGGGGCACGCUUGGCGCUGUUACAGAGGGAGGGAGGACCGGGCGGGGAGUGCCUCGGAGGGCAGCAGGGUGUUUCGGUGGAGUUCCUGAGGGAAAAGUUGAGGUCUGAGGCCAAGGUGCACCAGAAAUUCAUGGAAAUAAUCUUCUGGGAGGAAAGGAGAAGAAUGAUGAUCACGUACAGGACGCUGGCGGAGGAGAGAGAAGAGGCGUCGUGUGGAACGGCGAGGCAAGAGUGAGCGAGAAGAGGAGCGGGGAGCGGCGUCGGGCUGCGGAGGGGCCACGAGAAAGGCACUCUGGGCAAAGGGACCUCCCUGUCUCCGGGGCGUGGUCGCGUAAGA